RNAcentral lists this ribosomal RNA (460 nucleotides) under uncultured bacterium. RNAcentral describes it as "partial 16S ribosomal RNA". It matches the Rfam family "Bacterial small subunit ribosomal RNA", at positions 338 to 795 of the family's 1533-position model. The record is from RNAcentral.
CCUACGGGUGGCAGCAGUGAGGAAUAUUGGUCAAUGGACGAGAGUCUGAACCAGCCAAGCCGCGUGAAGGAUGACUGCCCUAUGGGUUGUAAACUUCUUUUAUAUGGGAGUAAAAUGUUGCUCGUGAGGGAUCUUGUAUGUACGAUAAGAAUUUGGAUAGGCUAAGUUCGUGCCAGCAGCCGCGGUAAGAUGGAGGGUCGGUGCGUUAUCCGGAUUUAUUGGGUUUAAAGGGAACGGAGGUGGAUUGAUAAGUUAGAUGUGAAAGUUUGCGGCUCAACCGUAAAAUUGCAGUUGAAACUGUCGAACUUGAGUACAGUAGAGGAGGGUGGAAUUCGUGGUGUAGCGGUGGAAUGCUUAGAUAUAACGAAGAACACCGGUGGCGAAGGCAGCUCACUGGACUGCAACUGACGCUGAGGCUCGAAAGUAUGGGUAGCGAACAGGAUUAGAUACCCGUGUAGUC